ACAAACUUGGUCAUUUAGAGGAAGUAAAAGUCGUAACAAGGUUUCCGUAGGUGAACCUGCGGAAGGAUCAUUAAAAAGUUUUUAAGUCUUUUGACUUAAUCUCUUCAAACCCUUUGAUUAAUUAUAUCUCGCGUUGCUUUGGCUUAGAUUUCUAAGUCAUAAGCCUUAAUAAACUCUUUUUAAUUUUGAAUUAUUGUCUGAAAAAUCAUUAAAUUUUUAACUAAAACUUUCAACAAUGGAUCUCUUGGUUCUGGCAUCGAUGAAGAACGCAGC
This 273-nucleotide unclassified non-coding RNA is filed under the name uncultured fungus. RNAcentral's name for it is "partial contains small subunit ribosomal RNA, internal transcribed spacer 1, and 5.8S ribosomal RNA". The stretch from base 1 to 73 matches the Rfam family "Eukaryotic small subunit ribosomal RNA", at positions 1759 to 1831 of the family's 1831-position model. The record is from RNAcentral. Lineage: Eukaryota; Fungi.